UGCCAUAAAAGGCAAAGCCAUUGAAAGAUGGUGACGCAAAGCUGUAGGGGCUAAGGCGGUUUAACCGCUAGGCCAGCCAGUUGCCGGG
Molecule: non-coding RNA, 88 nt
Filed under: Peptococcaceae bacterium
Lineage: Bacteria; Bacillati; Bacillota; Clostridia; Eubacteriales; Peptococcaceae
Description: c-di-GMP sequence
Rfam family: c-di-GMP-I riboswitch aptamer
About the family: GEMM was predicted in a large-scale screen for bacterial structured RNA regulatory elements.
Source: RNAcentral